UCCUGUGUGGUCUAUAGUGGCUAGGGUUCGGCGCUCUCACCGCCGCGGCAGGGGUUCGAUUCCCCGCACGGGAG
Molecule: transfer RNA, 74 nt
Filed under: Clytia hemisphaerica
Lineage: Eukaryota; Metazoa; Cnidaria; Hydrozoa; Leptothecata; Clytiidae
Description: tRNA-Glu for anticodon CUC
Rfam family: tRNA
About the family: Transfer RNA (tRNA) molecules are approximately 80 nucleotides in length. Their secondary structure includes four short double-helical elements and three loops (D, anti-codon, and T loops). Further hydrogen bonds mediate the characteristic L-shaped molecular structure. tRNAs have two regions of fundamental functional importance: the anti-codon, which is responsible for specific mRNA codon recognition, and the 3' end, to which the tRNAs corresponding amino acid is attached (by aminoacyl-tRNA synthetases). tRNAs cope with the degeneracy of the genetic code in two manners: having more than one tRNA (with a specific anti-codon) for a particular amino acid; and 'wobble' base-pairing, i.e. permitting non-standard base-pairing at the 3rd anti-codon position.
Source: Rfam by way of RNAcentral